GACGAACGCUGGCGGCGUGCUUAACACAUGCAAGUCGAACGGAAAGGCCCUGCUUUUGUGGGGUGCUCGAGUGGCGAACGGGUGAGUAACACGUGAGUAACCUGCCCUUGACUUUGGGAUAACCUCAGGAAACUGGGGCUAAUACCGGAUAGGAGCUCCUGCUGCAUGGUGGGGGUUGGAAAGUUUCGGCGGUUGGGGAUGGACUCGCGGCUUAUCAGCUUGUUGGUGGGGUAGUGGCUUACCAAGGCUUUGACGGGUAGCCGGCCUGAGAGGGUGACCGGCCACAUUGGGACUGAGAUACGGCCCAGACUCCUACGGGAGGCAGCAGUGGGGAAUAUUGCACAAUGGGCGGAAGCCUGAUGCAGCAACUCCGCGUGCGGGAUGACGGCCUUCGGGUUGUAAACCGCUUUCGCCUGUGACGAAGCGUGAGUGACGGUAAUGGGUAAAGAAGCACCGGCUAACUACGUG
Molecule: ribosomal RNA, 468 nt
Filed under: uncultured bacterium
Lineage: Bacteria
Description: partial 16S ribosomal RNA
Rfam family: Bacterial small subunit ribosomal RNA
Source: RNAcentral